CUAAUUUAUCCUUGUUCAACUUAAAUCUAGAGGGACAUCCUGGCACCAGCCAAGGCCAGCAAGUAGCUGUGACUGGCACUGCUACCUCAAGAGUUAAAGGCUUAGCUGCCCAGGACCCCUCAGAAACACAACCACCAUUUUCCUCUCCCUUUGCUGUGGUAGUCAGUUGUACUUUGAAUUUGCCCUUCACAGAAGCUCCAUCAGCAAAAGACAACUGGAAAAUAAAAUGGACAUGGCCCCAUCUGCCCAGGAGCUCUGAAACUACUGCAGCCAACAUGUGCCCAUGCCAGGAGAUAUCUCUGCAUGCUGAAGAUGACAGAAUGAAAAGAUGGUGACCUCUCAGUCUUUGAGGAGAUUAAAAGGCUAAGAAUUAAUUCUAGGUCUGCUCUAUCUGUAGACUUUCUAUUAUAUGAGAUACUAAGUAUCAUUAUUUAAGCCACUUCUAAUUGCAUAUUGUGUUUCUUACAAUAAACAGUUUUCUGCAACUGACAACCUUUCUGGGUGGUACCUAGCCUCCAGAAAGGCCCCAAUGAUCCUUACCUCCUGGUAUUCAUGUCUUUGUAUAAUCCCCUUCUACAUUGAAUCCAGGCUUGCUUUUGUGACCGGGAGAAUAUGGUGGAAAUAUAAGUGUGACUUCCAAGUCUGCUUUAUAAAGACAUUGCAACUUCUGCCUUGAUCACUCUUGGAUAACUUGCUCUGGAAUCAGCCAGCUACCAUGUCAUGAGGACACCAGACGGGCUUGUGAAGAAGCCUUCUUGGAGAAGAGUCAACUGGCCAGUACCAACUUGCCAGCAUGUGAGUGUGUG
Molecule: long non-coding RNA, 806 nt
Organism: Bos taurus (domestic cattle)
Lineage: Eukaryota; Metazoa; Chordata; Mammalia; Artiodactyla; Bovidae
Source: Ensembl